AUUGAACGCUGGCGGCAUGCCUAACACAUGCAAGUCGAACGGAGGUAGGGGCAACUCUACUUCAGUGGCGGACGGGUGAGGAAUGCGUCGGAAUCUACCCUAUGGUGGGGGAUAACACAGGGAAACUUGUGCUAAUACCGCAUAAUGUCGAGAGACCAAAGCAGGGGACCGCAAGGCCUUGCGCGAUAGGAUGAGCCGACGCCCGAUUAGCUAGUUGGUAGGGUAAAGGCCUACCAAGGCGACGAUCGGUAGCUGGUCUGAGAGGAUGAUCAGCCACACUGGGACUGAGACACGGCCCAGACUCCUACGGGAGGCAGCAGUGGGGAAUAUUGGACAAUGGGCGCAAGCCUGAUCCAGCAAUGCCGCGUGUGUGAAGAAGGCCUGCGGGUUGUAAAGCACUUUUGUUCGGGAGAAAUCAUGCUGGUUAAUACCUGGUAUGGAUGACGGUACCGAAGAAUAAGCACCGGCUAACUUCGUGCCAGC
Molecule: ribosomal RNA, 483 nt
Filed under: uncultured bacterium
Lineage: Bacteria
Description: bacterial SSU rRNA
Rfam family: Bacterial small subunit ribosomal RNA
Source: RNAcentral